RNAcentral lists this transfer RNA (68 nucleotides) under Gekko mindorensis. RNAcentral's name for it is "tRNA-Trp". Lineage: Eukaryota; Metazoa; Chordata; Lepidosauria; Squamata; Gekkonidae. The record is from RNAcentral.
AAAUUUAGGUUAACUAUAAACCAAGGACCUUCAAAGCCCUAAAUAGGUAAAACCCCCCCUAAUUUCUG